UACGGAGGGAGCUAGCGUUGUUCGGAAUUACUGGGCGUAAAGCGCACGUAGGCGGCUUUGUAAGUUAGAGGUGAAAGCCCGGGGCUCAACUCCGGAACUGCCUUUAAGACUGCAUCGCUUGAAUCCGGGAGAGGUGAGUGGAAUUCCGAGUGUAGAGGUGAAAUUCGUAGAUAUGGGGAGGAACACCGGUGGCGAAGGCGGCCAUCUGGACGGAUACUGACGCUGAGACGCGAAAGCGUGGGGAGCAAACAGG
RNAcentral lists this ribosomal RNA (253 nucleotides) under uncultured bacterium. RNAcentral's name for it is "partial 16S ribosomal RNA". It matches the Rfam family "Bacterial small subunit ribosomal RNA", at positions 524 to 776 of the family's 1533-position model. The record is from RNAcentral.